RNAcentral lists this transfer RNA (65 nucleotides) under Zele chlorophthalmus. RNAcentral's name for it is "tRNA-Gly". Lineage: Eukaryota; Metazoa; Arthropoda; Insecta; Hymenoptera; Braconidae. The record is from RNAcentral.
AUUUAUACAGUAUAAAUUUGUACAUUCAACUUCCAAUUGAAAAGUUUAAAAUAUUAAUAUAAAUA